AUACGGAGGGUGCAAGCGUUAAUCGGAAUUACUGGGCGUAAAGCGUGCGUAGGUGGUUUGUUAAGUUAGAUGUGAAAGCCCCGGGCUCAACCUGGGAACUGCAUUUGAAACUGGCAUACUAGAGUAUAGGAGAGGAAAGUGGAAUUUCAGGUGUAGCGGUGAAAUGCGUAGAUAUCUGAAGGAACAUCAAUGGCGAAGGCAGCUUUCUGGACUAAUACUGACACUGAGGUACGAAAGCGUGGGUAGCAAACAGGAUUAGAAACCCGGGUAGUCC
This 274-nucleotide ribosomal RNA is filed under the name uncultured bacterium. RNAcentral's name for it is "partial 16S ribosomal RNA". It matches the Rfam family "Bacterial small subunit ribosomal RNA", at positions 523 to 796 of the family's 1533-position model. The record is from RNAcentral.